Molecule: ribosomal RNA, 253 nt
Filed under: uncultured bacterium
Lineage: Bacteria
Description: partial 16S ribosomal RNA
Rfam family: Bacterial small subunit ribosomal RNA
Source: RNAcentral
UACAGAGGGUGCAAGCGUUAUUCGGAAUUACUGGGCGUAAAGCGUGCGCAGUCGGUUAUUUAAGUCGGGCGUGAAAGCCCCGGGCUCAACCUGGGAAUUGCGUUCGAUACUGGAUAGCUAGAGUUCGGCAGAGGGAAGCGGAAUUUCGGGUGUAGCGGUGAAAUGCGUAGAUAUCCGAAGGAACAUCAGUGGCGAAAGCGGCUUCCUGGACCAGAACUGACGAUCAGGCACGAAAGCGUGGGGAGCAAACAGG